Small nuclear RNA from Otolemur garnettii (small-eared galago), 113 nucleotides. Lineage: Eukaryota; Metazoa; Chordata; Mammalia; Primates; Galagidae. The record is from Ensembl.
GUGCUCACUUCAGCAGCAUAUAAACUAAAACUAAAAUUGGAAUAAUAUAGAGAGGAUUAGUAUGCCCUCUGUGCAUGGAUGACAGGCAAAUUCAUGAUGCGUUCCAUUUUUGU